UUUAGGUAGGAAGCUAAAGAGCUACACACCCUGUUACAAACGUGACCGUGGAACUCCCAGUGACAUUGCAGCUGAUGGCACUUGUCAACAGCAGCAGGAGCUUUCCUAAGGACAAGGGGAGCUGGAGUGCAGCUCAGGAGUGGCUGGAGAUGGGAAAGAGCACUAAAGCAUGGGAGAGAUAACCCUGCUGGGCAGCCUACAGGAAGAUGGUUGAUAGUCACAUUGCUUUGGACACUCAGGGCUCAUUUCAGCCUUCUGAGGAGCCCACUGAAGUUACCUGCCUGCCAUGAAGAAUGCAUGUGGUGGUGUCUAUUUUCUGCACGUUCUACAACUGAAAAGAAUAAAAGUAUUACAUCUGCAAA
Molecule: long non-coding RNA, 362 nt
Organism: Pseudopodoces humilis (Tibetan ground-tit)
Lineage: Eukaryota; Metazoa; Chordata; Aves; Passeriformes; Paridae
Source: RefSeq, a predicted model, not a curated record